GAUGAACGCUGGCGGCGCGCCUAAUACAUGCAAGUCGAGCGACGAAACAGUUCUUCGUAAGAAGAGCUGCUGAAAGCGGCGAACGGGUGAGUAACACGUGGGCAACGUGCCCCUGACUUCGGGAUAACAACGGGAAACCGUUGCUAAUACCGUAUAAACCUGCAGCACCGCAUGGUGCAACAGGCAAAGUUUUUCGGUCAGGGAUCGGCCCGCGGCCUAUCAGCUUGNGGUGGGGUAACGGCCUACCAAGGCAUUGACGGGUAGCUGGCGUGAGAGCGCGGCCAGCCACACUGGGACUGAGACACGGCCCAGACUCCUACGGGAGGCAGCAGUAGGGAAUCUUGCGCAAUGGGCGAAAGCCUGACGCAGCGACGCCGCGCGUGGGAUGAAUGCCUU
Molecule: ribosomal RNA, 396 nt
Filed under: uncultured bacterium
Lineage: Bacteria
Description: bacterial SSU rRNA
Rfam family: Bacterial small subunit ribosomal RNA
Source: RNAcentral